RNAcentral lists this ribosomal RNA (450 nucleotides) under Leptotrichia wadei. RNAcentral describes it as "bacterial SSU rRNA". It matches the Rfam family "Bacterial small subunit ribosomal RNA", at positions 28 to 495 of the family's 1533-position model. Lineage: Bacteria; Fusobacteriati; Fusobacteriota; Fusobacteriia; Fusobacteriales; Leptotrichiaceae. The record is from RNAcentral.
GAUGAACGCUGACAGAAUGCUUAACACAUGCAAGUCUUUGGCGAAGCUGUGCUUGCACAGCCUAGCCAAGGCGGACGGGUGAGUAACGCGUAAGGGACUUGCCCUGCAGUCAGGGAUAACAGACGGAAACGACUGAUAAGACCUGGUAAAGUCAGGCGGACUCAUGUCCAGCCUGAUGAAAAGGAAUGCUGCAGGAGAGCCUUGCGUCCUAUUAGCUUGUUGGUGGGGUAACGGCCCACCAAGGCGAUGAUAGGUAGCCGGCCUGAGAGGGUGGACGGCCACAAGGGGACUGAGAUACGGCCCUUACUCCUACGGGAGGCAGCAGUGGGGAAUAUUGGACAAUGGGGGCAACCCUGAUCCAGCAAUUCUGUGUGCACGAUGAAGGUCUUCGGAUUGUAAAGUGCUUUCAGCAGGGAAGAAAAAAAUGACGGACCUGCAGAAGAGCGCGCA